UGUAGCAGCUCCAGCGAGGCAGAAGAGUUUGGACACAAUAGCAGUCCUGUCUGGAUGCGACUCUGCAAUGUAUCAUCCAAAGCUAAGUGUUUAAACAUUUUGCUUCAAUCACUGUACUACUGCUCAUCAUAACCACUUUUGUAGAAAAAUGUUAAUCCUAAUCUAAUUUUGGUUUUGAUGUUUUUCAGCAAUUGUGCAGUUAAAGACAGAAUGCCUGAGAAGAUCAAGUGUGCCACAACACUGAUGAUGACCAUCUGAAUACCAGCAUCUGUGGAUAUCCAGCCUGUAAGACGAGUCAGAUCCAGUGGCUAGAUGGCGGGAGAUGCCUCAAUAGUCAACUUCCUUCAUUUAAUAAUUGGAUGAACAGUUAAUUUUAAUGUUUAUAAAUUGUUUGACAUAAUUGGUUUAAUUUCAAAAUAUAUUUAUUUUUUAUAUAUUAGUGUAA
Molecule: long non-coding RNA, 445 nt
Organism: Labeo rohita (rohu)
Lineage: Eukaryota; Metazoa; Chordata; Actinopteri; Cypriniformes; Cyprinidae
Exons: 3
Source: RefSeq, a predicted model, not a curated record